This is a long non-coding RNA of Priapulus caudatus, 213 nucleotides long. RefSeq lists it as uncharacterized. The record is from RefSeq and is a predicted model, not a curated record. Lineage: Eukaryota; Metazoa; Priapulida; Priapulimorpha; Priapulimorphida; Priapulidae. The transcript is spliced from 3 exons.
CUGAAAAGCACCAGCACACGGAUCACUACAGACACGGAGCACUAAAGACACGGAGCACUACAAAGACACGGAGCACUACAAAGACACGGAUCACUACAGAGACACGGAUCACUACAGAGACACGGAUCACUAUACAGACACGGAUCACUACAGAUACGGAUCACUACAGACAGGAUCACUGCACGGAGGCAGACGAGGAGCACUGUAGGGAGU